Molecule: long non-coding RNA, 605 nt
Organism: Salvelinus sp. IW2-2015
Lineage: Eukaryota; Metazoa; Chordata; Actinopteri; Salmoniformes; Salmonidae
Source: RefSeq, a predicted model, not a curated record
CCAUGACUUUUGAAGUGAAGCGCAUAUCUUUUGUUCUUGGCUUCUUAGCUAGACGCAAUCAGAGCUUGUAGCGGCACAACCGAGGGGGGAGGAGAAUGGGCCAGCCAAGAAAUGAAAAUACCCUUCAGAGUGGAAAAGAGAGGUUCGGAAGAGAAGGGGAAUGGAAUGUAAAUCUGGUUUUGUCUAGAAGGGAUACAGCUUUUGUAAAAAAAAAAUUACAAACACUUUUCGUAGCAGGUUAGGAGAAUUAGCAUAGCAAGUUACGAGGAGUAGGUUAAGGUUAGCAAAAUUUUACAUAAAAAUGUAAUUCCAUGUUGAAAUGUGUCUGAUUUGCUUACUAGUAACAUGAUUGAUGGUGAUGGUGACAUUUCGGUUUUGGUUGUUUGACUGUUGUAACACUUACCUGUUCAUUCUGAGUGAACAAUUAAACAUCGCACUUGGUGUAAAUAUUUUUAGUAGGCAUUCACCAUCACAUGUACUUGAAAUUAUAUUCUGAAAUACAUUUUCAUUAAUGCUAUUGAAAUUGGAAAAUGAUUCCAUUGUCUCGAGUACCAUACACCUUUUUAUGAAAUUGUGCACAUUGAUAAAUAUUAAAUCAACUUUGA